Molecule: ribosomal RNA, 468 nt
Filed under: uncultured bacterium
Lineage: Bacteria
Description: partial 16S ribosomal RNA
Rfam family: Bacterial small subunit ribosomal RNA
Source: RNAcentral
GACGAACGCUGGCGGCGUGCUUAACACAUGCAAGUCGAACGGAAAGGCCCUGCUUUUGUGGGGUGCUCGAGUGGCGAACGGGUGAGUAACACGUGAGUAACCUGCCCUUGACUUUGGGAUAACUUCAGGAAACUGGGGCUAAUACCGGAUAGGAGCUCCUGCUGCAUGGUGGGGGUUGGAAAGUUUCGGCGGUUGGGGAUGGACUCGCGGCUUAUCAGCUUGUUGGUGGGGUAGUGGCUUACCAAGGCUUUGACGGGUAGCCGGCCUGAGAGGGUGACCGGCCACCUUGGGACUGCGAUACGGCCCAGACUCCUACGGGGGGCAGCAGUGGGGAAUAUUGCACAAUGGGCGGACGCCUGAUGCAGCAACGCCGCGUGCGGGAUGACGGCCUUCGGGUUGUAAACCGCUUUCGCCUGUGACGAAGCGUGAGUGACGGUAAUGGGUAAAGAAGCACCGGCUAACUACGUG